This 69-nucleotide transfer RNA is filed under the name Granulicella mallensis MP5ACTX8. Its description in RNAcentral is "tRNA-Trp (CCA) (tRNA-Trp-CCA-2-1)". Lineage: Bacteria; Pseudomonadati; Acidobacteriota; Terriglobia; Terriglobales; Acidobacteriaceae. The record is from RNAcentral.
AGUUUUAUCAACUGGUUAAAUGAAACUACCAACCUUUAUGCGUCGGUUCGAUCCCGACCCGCGCCUCCA